This 450-nucleotide ribosomal RNA is filed under the name uncultured bacterium. RNAcentral's name for it is "partial 16S ribosomal RNA". It matches the Rfam family "Bacterial small subunit ribosomal RNA", at positions 354 to 796 of the family's 1533-position model. The record is from RNAcentral.
UUGGGGAAUAUUCCGCAAUGGACGAAAGUCUGACGGAGCAACGCCGCGUGAGUGAUGAAGGUUUUCGGACUGUAAAGCUCUGUUGUUUAGGACGAAAGUGCCUGUUGCAAAUAGUUACAGGUAUUGACGGUACUGAACGAGGAAGCCACGGCUAACUACGUGCCAGCAGCCGCGGUAAUACGUAGGUGGCAAGCGUUGUCCGGAAUUAUUGGGCGUAAAGAGCAUGUAGGCGGGAAUCUAAGUCUGUUGUGAAAAUGCGGGGCUCAACCCCGUAUUGCGAUGGAAACUGGGUUUCUUGAGUGCAGGAGAGGAAAGGGGAAUUCCCAGUGUAGCGGUGAAAUGCGUAGAUAUUGGGAGGAACACCAGUGGCGAAGGCGCCUUUCUGGACUGUGUCUGACGCUGAGAUGCGAAAGCCAGGGUAGCGAACGGGAUUAGAUACCCUGGUAGUCC